Molecule: non-coding RNA, 73 nt
Organism: Salmo salar (Atlantic salmon)
Lineage: Eukaryota; Metazoa; Chordata; Actinopteri; Salmoniformes; Salmonidae
Source: Rfam
UGUCAGAUAGCUUAUCAGACUGGUGUUGACUGUUUGAAUCACAUGGCGACAACAGUCUGUAAGCUGUCUGAAG